RNAcentral lists this long non-coding RNA (1297 nucleotides) under Medicago truncatula (barrel medic). RNAcentral describes it as "lncRNA gene16160". The record is from RNAcentral. Lineage: Eukaryota; Viridiplantae; Streptophyta; Magnoliopsida; Fabales; Fabaceae.
UUCUACUUUUGAUUCAUAUUAUUGAUAUUCUUGGCUAUUUUCAAAGACCCUUUGUCAAGAGCAAUACAAUAUUAGUAAACUCUAAUGUCUCUAACUCAAUGAGCUGUGCAAGCAGCUUUGCAAAUCUUGAGAACAAUUCAUCCAUGAUAUUUUCACCAAACCCGUCUAUUAAAAGAGGUUCAAAAACAGCUCUGUGGUACUUGGCUAUAAGCUCCCCUCUCAUUUUGCUAUCAACAAUACCAUCAUUAUGGAGGUUUGCAUCCCAACCCAUUUUAAAAGUUUUCAUUACUUGAAGUGUAAAAGAUCCUUCUGCCUCAAUCACUUGUCUUACUUCCUCUACAGUAGGAUGGUAUGUUGGAAAAUUAAACAAGUCUAAUUUCUCCUCUUCAACUAAACCCUACAAAUUAUAAGGAAUCUUUAUAAAAUAUAAAAUAAAAUAAAAAAGGAAAAUCAAAAGUUAAAGAAAAACUAAAUAUUUAUUUUGUUAUGUAAAGUCUCCUAUAAUAAUGUUGUUCAAUAAUAACAAUCUACAUGAGUUUUACGCGGUAAUUAAGGAAAGGAAAAUGAUUAAUAGUGUUGAUUUUAACGGCAAAAUGUGUAUCAUUUUUUAAAACAUCCUUAUUAAUUAUAUAGUUAGUGGAAUAAUUUUAGAUAAUUAAAAUUGAAUAAAUAAGGGUAUGUAAGUGGAAAAAGUAUUAAAUAUUGUAUUGAUAUUAUAAAAGAGACAAAAACAAUUAGAAAAGAAGACAUAUAUUGUAAGACGAAGGAAGUAUUUAUCUGAAUCAACCAUAUUUUUAAAUGAGAUUAACUAAUUAUAUGGUAUUUUAUCAUAUCAAUAUAAAUUUAUAGAAGGUUUAAACUAUUGUAAAAGGAAAGUAGGGUAUCUAAAGUGUGUGUGAAAUGAUAGACAUAUGAUAUGAGGCCGAUAAGAUUUUUGUUUUGAAAUGUUUAAUUUUUUUUUUUUAAGCACUCUUUCUUAAUUACUUGCUAUCAAAGCUGAUAUUUACCUCUUGGACCAUCUCGUUGAGUACCAGGCCAAGUACCUCUUGAAUAGAAGUAAUUUCAUUUGAUGUUUCUCUGCCAAUGAAUGUUAGUACCAUCAUACCAUCUGAUACUAUUUCUUCGAAGCGUGACUUUAGAAAACACUUGAAAUCUCUUGCAAAUUGCACAAAAUAUGCUUCAUAGACCGAUGGAGGACUUGUUCUUGAUAUGUAAAUAUUUCCCUUGUUGAGUGGUUUUGCAUUAUUGGCCAAAUCUUUGGGUGCCUAAUGCCAAAAAAGAUGAACUUCAAAUAUAA